RNAcentral lists this ribosomal RNA (440 nucleotides) under uncultured bacterium. RNAcentral describes it as "partial 16S ribosomal RNA". It matches the Rfam family "Bacterial small subunit ribosomal RNA", at positions 338 to 795 of the family's 1533-position model. The record is from RNAcentral.
CCUACGGGGGGCAGCAGUGGGGAAUAUUGCACAAUGGGGGAAACCCUGAUGCAGCGACGCCGCGUGAGUGAAGAAGUAAUUCGUUAUGUAAAGCUCUAUCAGCAGGGAAGAAAAUGACGGUACCUGUGUAAGAAGCCCCGGCUAACUACGGGCCAGCAGCCGCGGUCAUACGUAGGGGGCAAGCGUUAUCCGGAUUUACUGGGUGUAAAGGGAGCGUAGACGGCAGUGCAAGUCUGGAGUGAAAGGCGGGGGCUCAACCCCCGGACUGCUCUGGAAACUGUACGGCUGGAGUGCAGGAGAGGUAAGUGGAAUUCCUGGUGUAGCGGUGAAAUGCGUAGAUAUUAGGAGGAACACCAGUGGCGAAGGCGGCUUACUGGACUGUAACUGACGUUGAGGCUCGAAAGCGUGGGGAGCAAACAGGAUUAGAUACCCCAGUAGUC